RNAcentral lists this ribosomal RNA (301 nucleotides) under uncultured bacterium. RNAcentral describes it as "partial 16S ribosomal RNA". It matches the Rfam family "Bacterial small subunit ribosomal RNA", at positions 509 to 809 of the family's 1533-position model. The record is from RNAcentral.
CAGCCGCCGCGGUAAUACGGAGGAUCCAAGCGUUAUCCGGAAUCAUUGGGUUUAAAGGGUCCGUAGGCGGUCUUGUAAGUCAGUGGUGAAAGCCCAUCGCUCAACGGUGGAACGGCCAUUGAUACUGCAGGACUUGAAUUAUUGGGAAGUAACUAGAAUAUGUAGUGUAGCGGUGAAAUGCUUAGAGAUUACAUGGAAUACCAAUUGCGAAGGCAGGUUACUACCAAUUGAUUGACGCUGAUGGACGAAAGCGUGGGUAGCGAACAGGAUUAGAUACCCGGGUAGUCCCUGUCUCUUAUAU